Molecule: long non-coding RNA, 366 nt
Filed under: Equus caballus (horse)
Lineage: Eukaryota; Metazoa; Chordata; Mammalia; Perissodactyla; Equidae
Description: lncRNA (ENSECAG00000055645.1)
Source: RNAcentral
GCAGGCCACCCCCGGGGCGUCUUGAGAUGACAAGCGAUGGAAGCAUCCCUUAGAAGACAGCCUCGCCGGGGAGCUGCGGGAGACAGGCGGCACAAGCUGCACCCAGGAGCCGAGGGCCCUGGGACAGCAGAGCAGGCCAGGUGGUUGUAAGGGCAAAUUCCUCUGGAGGGAGGGAAGGAACAGGAGGAAGAGCCCCAGUCCAUACAGGAUGCGGAGGAUGGUCCCAAUCACCCAGGAAGCAGAACUGGAGCUCAGCCAGGUAACAACAAUGCUUUUUAUAUAUAAGAUAGGAGUUUCCAUAUCUCAAUACAGUUCUACUCUCAGGCAACUGAGCACUGGGAGUGACUUGGAGAUUAGAACCCCACG